RNAcentral lists this long non-coding RNA (690 nucleotides) under Bos indicus x Bos taurus (hybrid cattle). Its description in RNAcentral is "lncRNA (ENSBIXG00005029107.1)". The record is from RNAcentral. Lineage: Eukaryota; Metazoa; Chordata; Mammalia; Artiodactyla; Bovidae.
AUGCUGCUCUCGGUUCCCACAGGAGCAGGAAUGGGCACCAUGACCACUGAAGAGUGCAGUGGACCGCCUCCAGGUCUCUGCCCACGACGCUGGGGCCUUCCUGGGCUGCCGACUUUCUGCAGAAGCGUCAGCAUGAUCAAGCUCUCUCCUUGCUCUCUGGCACAGAGGCUAUGGGAUGUGGUGCCCAAAGGAGGAACCAGGAGGAUCUGCAAACCCUGGAGUCUGCUCGGUAGCCCAGAGAUGGGCUGUGUGCAGGUUGUGCCCAGGAGGAGGAAGCAAACACUUUCUGGAGAGCAGCAUCAGAGGACUCCACAGAGGACAGGGCUGGUGGAGGGCACAGUCCAGGAGAGCUGUGGAAAUCAGUCAGAAUCCUACAACAGGCGGGAACCUUGGGAGUCCUUUAGUCCAGGCACAGCAGUCAGGAGGCUUGCCUUUGAGCCAGGUCAGGUGGAGAGAGAUGAUGUGAACUUAUCCUAUCCCCAUCUCCCUACUGAAGCCCCAUUGAGGUGUCUUUGGGUCCACUGCCUAAUUUGCCACAUGGAGAGAGGGUCAUGGUCCUGUCUGCCAGGGACACAGGUCCAACACUCAGAGGCAACACAUGGGGAUUUCCCUGGUGAUCCAGGGGCUAAGACUUAGAGCUCCGAAUGCAGGGGCCCAGGUUCAAUUCCUGUUCAGAGGACUAGAUCCCAC